UUGUACAAAUUAUGUCAAACUUGACUCAUACCAUACAUUCAAACCCAAAACCUUCUAAGUUAUAACAUGGAGAGUUGGAGACCAAGCGAUUGUAUCAACGAGCUUCACUGUCGGAGAAUCUCUUGGAGCUGAAGGACUUUUUUUUGGUAAGAUGAGCUGAAGGACUUGAUUUCUCUGUUCUGGUGGCAGAAAAUUAUCACAUGUUGAAGCAUUCAGUGCCUUCUCCAUCUCUGC
RNAcentral lists this long non-coding RNA (234 nucleotides) under Brassica napus (rape). RNAcentral describes it as "long non-coding RNA (BNAP_LNC001458)". The record is from RNAcentral. Lineage: Eukaryota; Viridiplantae; Streptophyta; Magnoliopsida; Brassicales; Brassicaceae.